RNAcentral lists this ribosomal RNA (1023 nucleotides) under Brachycerus lutosus. Its description in RNAcentral is "SSU rRNA". It matches the Rfam family "Eukaryotic small subunit ribosomal RNA", at positions 441 to 1395 of the family's 1831-position model. The record is from RNAcentral. Lineage: Eukaryota; Metazoa; Arthropoda; Insecta; Coleoptera; Brachyceridae.
UUACCCACUCCCGGCACGGGGAGGUAGUGACGAAAAAUAACGAUACGGGACUCAUCCGAGGCCCCGUAAUCGGAAUGAGUACACUCUAAACCCUUUAACGAGGAUCAAUUGGAGGGCAAGUCUGGUGCCAGCAGCCGCGGUAAUUCCAGCUCCAAUAGCGUAUAUUAAAGUUGUUGCGGUUAAAAAGCUCGUAGUCGAAUUUGUGUCUCGCGCCGCCGGUUCAUCGUCCGCGGUGUUAACUGGCGUGUCGCGAGACGUCCUGCCGGUGGGCCCCGUCGGCGUGUUUAACUCGCAAGGGUGGCGCGCACGUACGCGCGGCCCAACUCAAUCCUGCCGCGGUGCUCUUCAUUGAGUGUCGAGGUGGGCCGGCACGUUUACUUUGAACAAAUUAGAGUGCUUAAAGCAGGCUAAAACUUCGCCUGAAUACUGUGUGCAUGGAAUAAUGGAAUAGGACCUCGGUUCUAUUUUGUUGGUUUUCGGAACCCCGAGGUAAUGAUUAAUAGGAACGGAUGGGGGCAUUCGUAUUGCGACGUUAGAGGUGAAAUUCUUGGAUCGUCGCAAGACGGACAGAAGCGAAAGCAUUUGCCAAAAACGUUUUCAUUGAUCAAGAACGAAAGUUAGAGGUUCGAAGGCGAUCAGAUACCGCCCUAGUUCUAACCAUAAACGAUGCCAGCUAGCGAUCCGUCGACGUUCCUCCGAUGACUCGACGGGCAGCUUCCGGGAAACCAAAGCUUUUGGGUUCCGGGGGAAGUAUGGUUGCAAAGCUGAAACUUAAAGGAAUUGACGGAAGGGCACCACCAGGAGUGGAGCCUGCGGCUUAAUUUGACUCAACACGGGAAACCUCACCAGGCCCGGACACCGGAAGGAUUGACAGAUUGAGAGCUCUUUCUUGAUUCGGUGGGUGGUGGUGCAUGGCCGUUCUUAGUUGGUGGAGCGAUUUGUCUGGUUAAUUCCGAUAACGAACGAGACUCUAGCCUGCUAACUAGGCGUAUUUUGACAUCGCAAAGGCCCGCCGGCNNGGGG